RNAcentral lists this ribosomal RNA (354 nucleotides) under uncultured bacterium. RNAcentral's name for it is "partial 16S ribosomal RNA". It matches the Rfam family "Bacterial small subunit ribosomal RNA", at positions 355 to 726 of the family's 1533-position model. The record is from RNAcentral.
UGGGGAAUAUUGGACAAUGGGGGCAACCCUGAUCCAGCAAUGCCGCGUGUGUGAAGAAGGUCUUCGGAUUGUAAAGCACUUUCGACGGGGACGAUGAUGACGGUACCCGUAGAAGAAGCCCCGGCUAACUUCGUGCCAGCAGCCGCGGUAAUACGAAGGGGGCUAGCGUUGCUCGGAAUGACUGGGCGUAAAGGGCGUGUAGGCGGUUUACACAGUCAGAUGUGAAAUCCCCGGGCUUAACCUGGGAGCUGCAUUUGAUACGUGUAGACUAGAGUGUGAGAGAGGGUUGUGGAAUUCCCAGUGUAGAGGUGAAAUUCGUAGAUAUUGGGAAGAACACCGGUGGCGAAGGCGGCA